CUGAUGAUCCCGUAGCUGACUCAGUUACAAGAGAAUCAACAGUUCGAGAAUCCGGAUCAGGUGAGGAAGCAGUUAACAGAGAAUCUAUAUCUAUUGCCCCGGGUGGUGUUGAAAGGGGAGUGAGAGUGUAGUCGGAUAGAUCUUAAUCCGUUCGAUAAGAAGUAGUGUGCAGGAGGUAAGGAGUUCGAUAAGAAGUAUGCAGGAGGUAAGGAAAUGAUGUUUCUUUGAGUUUGAAAGAACACUAAACUGUGACUGAAGAUCAACUGUCUUGACUUAUAGGUUAAUGCUUGACCUUUACGCGUUGCUGGUGGACUUAUUUAUGGAGUUAUAGUUGCUGUCGCUGGUGGCUCUUCAGUGUUGUUUGAUGGAAUGGCUUGCUUUGCUGCGUCACGCUUAAGUGGAAAGAGUGAGCAAGUGUAUUGUUCUGUCCCAACUCCUUGUCUGGCUUCCUCUUGUUCCGUAGCUUGUAGU
This 471-nucleotide long non-coding RNA is filed under the name Musa acuminata (dwarf banana). Its description in RNAcentral is "long non-coding RNA (MACU_LNC007962)". Lineage: Eukaryota; Viridiplantae; Streptophyta; Magnoliopsida; Zingiberales; Musaceae. The record is from RNAcentral.